CAACUUUUAACAACGGAUAUCUUGGCUCUCGCAACGAUGAAGAACGCAGCGAAAUGCGAUACGUAAUGUGAAUUGCAGAAUUCAGUGAAUCAUCAAAUCUUUGAACGCAUAUUGCGCUUCUGGGCUCGCUCAGAAGCAUGCCUGUUUCAGUGUCA
This 155-nucleotide ribosomal RNA is filed under the name Cyanophora cuspidata. Its description in RNAcentral is "5.8S rRNA". It matches the Rfam family "5.8S ribosomal RNA". From Rfam's summary of the family: 5.8S ribosomal RNA (5.8S rRNA) is a component of the large subunit of the eukaryotic ribosome. It is transcribed by RNA polymerase I as part of the 45S precursor that also contains 18S and 28S rRNA. Functionally, it is thought that 5.8S rRNA may be involved in ribosome translocation. The record is from RNAcentral. Lineage: Eukaryota; Glaucocystophyceae; Cyanophorales; Cyanophoraceae.